RNAcentral lists this long non-coding RNA (502 nucleotides) under Citrus sinensis (sweet orange). RNAcentral's name for it is "long non-coding RNA (CSIN_LNC000830)". Lineage: Eukaryota; Viridiplantae; Streptophyta; Magnoliopsida; Sapindales; Rutaceae. The record is from RNAcentral.
AAAAAAAAAAAAAAAAUGUGUUGCUACAUUAGGAGGUCCAUCUAACUAGUAGACAUGGAUAAUUAUUUAGAGCCCUAAAAGACGAUGGAAAGGCCAUCUUUGAUCCGUUUGAGCCUUUCUAGCCAUCCCUUUUAUUAAAUAUCCAUAGUUACCCCUUUUGAGCCUUUAAAAAAAAAAAAAAAAAGAACAAAAACCUUUUCUUUGUCAACUUAUCAUCUUGACCCACUCCGAUUUGGAGUAUUACCCAAUGUCUUUUAAGUUCCAUCACCUAUUUAUGUUUGAGAAAAUGUACAUAUUUAUGUUGUUCAGUGAAGUUAUACCAAAAAAAAAAAAAACAACAAAACAAAAGUUGUUGUUUCAAAAGAAUAAAAAUAACAAAAAUAGGUGAAAUCCACCUUGCAAGUUCCAAAAAAAAAAAAAAAAAAUUCUGCAUUUUUCUCAAACAUACACUUUAUUUUCCUUAUUUCCUUUCUUUGUUAGCCAUAUCCCUAGCCUACGUUAC